Long non-coding RNA from Oncorhynchus tshawytscha (Chinook salmon), 1177 nucleotides. NCBI's taxonomy places the organism in Eukaryota, Metazoa, Chordata, Actinopteri, Salmoniformes, Salmonidae. The record is from Ensembl.
GGGUGCUAUUUAUGAUAAUAUAGGGAACAGGGUGCUAUUUAGAAUAAUAUAGGGAACAGGGGGCUAUUUGGAAGAAUAUAGGGAACAGGGUGCUAUUUGGCAGAAUAUAGGGUGCUAUUUAGGAUAAUAUAGGGAACGGGGUGCUAUUUAUGAUAAUAUAGGGAACGGGGUGCUAUUUAGAAUAAUACAGGGUGCUAUUUGGGAGGCUGCCCGACAGAUCCUGUUUACACUAGAUAGACACAGUAUGCCUGGCCUGGCCUAACCCAAACACUGUCCUGGCCUAUCCCUGGCGCUGCUUUGCCUGGCCUAAAGUAUUUCUGUAAAAACAUUUUUUGAUCACUACUUAAGUUGUUUUUGGGUAUCUUUUUCACAACUUUUACUUCAUUACAUUCCGAAAGAUAAGAAUGUACUUUUUACUCCAUACAUUUUCCCUUACACCCAAAAGUACUCAUUACAUUUUGAAUGCUUAGCAGGACAGGACUAUUAGCUCACACAAACUCAUUGAAUAACAGAUUCACUACAGAUAUUAUCAAAUAAAUAAAAUUAAAUUAAAUAUAUAUAUAUACACACAUAAAACAGGUUUUUAACCCCUUAUUUCUGGCACACAUGUUUAGUCCAAACUAAACAUCCUGAAAUGAUUCUGACCUGUUACAUGACAGCCUCAUUCCAAAAUGGAUUUUACAUUGUUGAUUUUUCUCAACAAUCUACACACAAUAAGGCAGGUAUCCUAGUGGUUAGAGUUGGACAGUACCUGAAAGGUUGCUAGAUGGAAUCCCCGAGCUGACAAGGUAAAAAUCUGUCGUUCUGCCCCUGAACAGGCAGUUAACCCACUGUUCGUAGGUCGUCAUUGAAAUUAAGAAUUUAUUCUUAAAUGACUUGCCUAGUUAAAUAAAGACUUGAUUGGAGUCCUCCUGUGGUGAAUUCAAUUGAUUGGACAUGCUUCAGAAAGGCAGACACCUGUCUUUAUAAGGUCCCACAGUAAAAAAAAUAAUAAUCUUUAUUUAACAGUGUUUUGAAGCUUUAGAAUGCUUCCUAUGCAAAUCUACCAAUUAUAUGCAUAUCCUAGCUUCUGGGCCUGAGUAACAGGCAGUUUACUUUGGGCACGCUUCUCAUCCAGACGUCGAAAUACUGCCCCCAAGCCAUAAGAAGUUUUAAGACACCUUCUUCUUCCCUAGUC